CCAACGGCCCUCUUUAGGGCCACAAAUUCAAAAGAAAUCCACUAUU
Molecule: non-coding RNA, 46 nt
Filed under: Caenorhabditis briggsae
Lineage: Eukaryota; Metazoa; Nematoda; Chromadorea; Rhabditida; Rhabditidae
Description: sRNA CBG29741
Rfam family: Histone 3' UTR stem-loop
About the family: The mRNAs of metazoan histone genes lack a poly-A tail.
Source: RNAcentral